Molecule: long non-coding RNA, 620 nt
Organism: Topomyia yanbarensis
Lineage: Eukaryota; Metazoa; Arthropoda; Insecta; Diptera; Culicidae
Exons: 2
Source: RefSeq, a predicted model, not a curated record
UCCACGUCGGUAUAAAAAUCCUCGCCAUCGCAAGGGUCACUAUCAGUCGAGUGUCGUUAAACGAUCCAAACGCUUCUUUCGCCGUCGACGUGCAACCAACCAACCCCAAUUAGCCGAAAUGAAAUUCCUGAUCAUGACCCUCUGCCUCGUGGUUCUGGCCUUCGCGCUUGUAUCCGCUUUGCCUGCCGUGAACGACGAAAGCCUCUUUGGAGCUGAUGGAGCCGCCGACGAUACGUUGAACCCCCAGGAUCCACAGGCUAUCCUGCUUAAGAAGCUCUUACUCAAGAAGAAGCUUCUGUUGCUGGGUUAAAUAGACAGUAGGAACCGAGUCGUGCCCAACGGUCGAUAGGCUGCCAGGAGCAGUUUCUUCCAGAGGGAUACAGCUCGGAUCAAGUUUAGCGACAUAAGAAAUGAUUUUUUUUGGUUAUUUUACAAAAAAACGCCUAAUGCCAAGACUAAGUAAUAACGGUUAUUUUUUAUAAUUUUCAACUCGUGUGGUAUUCUUGAGAAUGAGCGCAAAAGAUGUUUCGCUGUUUUCAUUUUCCGCAACAAUGAAACUGCCAGUCAAAUAGAUCGAAUGUACAAGCCAAAUAAAUUAUAAGAUUUUUGAAGGAACGAAA